This 433-nucleotide ribosomal RNA is filed under the name uncultured bacterium. RNAcentral describes it as "partial 16S ribosomal RNA". It matches the Rfam family "Bacterial small subunit ribosomal RNA", at positions 29 to 507 of the family's 1533-position model. The record is from RNAcentral.
AACGAACGCUGGCGGCAUGCCUAACACAUGCAAGUCGAACGAGACCUUCGGGUCUAGUGGCGCACGGGUGCGUACCGCGUGGGAACCUGCCCUUAGGUUCGGAAUAACUCCCCGAAAGGGGUGCUAAUACCGGUUAAUGUCUUCGGACCAAAGAUGUAUCGCCUUUGGAUGGGCCCGCGUUGGAUUAGCUAAUUGGUAGGGUAAAAGCCUACCAAGGCGACGAUCCAUAGCUGGUCUGAGAGGAUGAUCAGCCACACUGGGACUGAGACACGGCCCAGACUCCUACGGGAGGCAGCAGUGGGUAAUAUUAGACAAUGGAGGAAAGCCUGAUCCAGCAGUGCCGCGUGAGUGAUGAAGGCCGUAGGGUUGUAAAGCUCUUUUACCCAGGAUGAUAAUGACAGUACCGGGAGAAUAAGCUCCGGCUAACUCCGUG